UACCUGCAGCCCAAGUGGUGGUCGAUUUUAUUGAGUCUAAAACGUUCGUAGCCGGUUUGGUAAAUCUUUGGGUAAAUCGGGAGGCUCAACUUUCCGACUUCCGAAGAGACUGUCAAACUUGGGACCGGGAGAGGCUAGAGGUACUUCUGGGGUAGGGGUAAAAUCCUGUAAUCCUAGAAGGACCACCGGUGGCGAAGGCGUCUAGCUAGAACGGACCCGACGGUGAGGGACGAAGCCCUGGGUCGCAAACGGGAUUAGAUACCCCGGUAGUCCAGGGUGUAAACGCUGCCGACUUGGUGUUGGAGGCCCUUCGGGGGCAUUCAGUGCCGGAGAGAAGUUGUUAAGUCGGCCACUUGGGGAGUACGUCCGCAAGGAUGAAACUUAA
RNAcentral lists this ribosomal RNA (385 nucleotides) under uncultured methanogenic archaeon. RNAcentral describes it as "bacterial SSU rRNA". It matches the Rfam family "Archaeal small subunit ribosomal RNA", at positions 474 to 859 of the family's 1478-position model. Lineage: Archaea; Methanobacteriati; Methanobacteriota. The record is from RNAcentral.